RNAcentral lists this ribosomal RNA (415 nucleotides) under uncultured prokaryote. RNAcentral describes it as "bacterial SSU rRNA". It matches the Rfam family "Bacterial small subunit ribosomal RNA", at positions 505 to 918 of the family's 1533-position model. The record is from RNAcentral.
GUGCCAGCAGCCGCGGUAAUACGGAGGGGGCUAGCGUUGUUCGGAAUUACUGGGCGUAAAGCGCACGUAGGCGGACUGUUAAGUCGGGGGUGAAAUCCCGGGGCUCAACCCCGGAACUGCCUUCGAUACUGGUCGGCUAGAGUUCGAGAGGGGGAUGCGGAAUUCCGCGUGUAGCAGUGAAAUGCGUAGAUAUGCGGAGGAACACCUGAGGCGAAGGCGGCAUCCUGGAUCGACACUGACGCUGAGGCCCGAAAGCGUGGGGAGCAAACAGGAUUAGAUACCCUGGUAGUCCACGCCCUAAACGAUGUCUACUAGCCGUUGCGGGUAUCGACCCCUGCAGUGGCGCAGCUAACGCGAUAAGUAGACCGCCUGGGGAGUACGGCCGCAAGGUUAAAACUCAAAUGAAUUGACGGGG